CCACAAAACCAUCCUCAGUUCAGAUUGCAGGCUGAAACCGCCUGCAUGAAGUCGGAGUUGCUAGUAAACGCAGGUCAGCAGACUGCGUUGAAUACGUUCUCGGGCCUUGUACACACCGCCCGUCACGUCAUGGGAGCUGGUAACACCUGAAGCUGGUAUCCUAACCGCAAGGAGGGAGCCAUCGAGGGUGGGACUGGUGACUGGGACGAAGUCGUAACAAGGUAGCCGUACCGGAAGGUGCGGCUGGAUCACCUCCUUU
Molecule: ribosomal RNA, 259 nt
Filed under: Dehalococcoidia bacterium
Lineage: Bacteria; Bacillati; Chloroflexota; Dehalococcoidia
Description: partial 16S ribosomal RNA
Rfam family: Bacterial small subunit ribosomal RNA
Source: RNAcentral